UAACCUUAGGACAGGGAUAACCUCGGGAAACUGAGGAUAAUACCUGAUAGGAAAUAAUUUCUGGAAUGAUCUAUUUCUUAAACGUAAGGCCUAAGGAUGAGGCUGCGGCUGAUUAGCUAGUUGUUGGUGUAACGGACUAACAAGGCGAUGAUCAGUAAGGGCUCUUAGCGGAGAAGCCCUGAGAAGGAAUCUUAGACACUAUUCCUAGCUCUACGGGGUGCAGCAGUCGAGGAAAUUUUUCAAUGCCCGAAAGGGUGAACGAGUAAGUCAGAGUGUUUUCUUUACGAAAACUUUUGUCUGUUGUAAAAAGACAGACGAAUAAGGACUGGGCAAGACCGGUGCCAGCCGCCGCGGUAAUCCCGGCGGUCCAAGUCGCAUCCACAAUUAUUGGGUCUAAAACAUCCGUAGCUUGCUUUGUAAGUCUCUUGUGAAAUUCCAUAUCUCAAGUAUGGAGCGUGCAAGAGAUACUACAGGGCUAGAGACCGGAAGACGCAAAGAGUACGAUCGAGGUAGCGGUAAAAUGUGUUAAUCUUGGUCGGACUAACAGUGGCGAAGGCGCUUUGCGAGUACGGAUCUGACAGUGAGGGAUGAAGGCUAGGGGCGCAAAAGGGAUUAGAUACCCCUGUAGUCCUAGCAGUAAACACUGCAUACUAAACAUCAGUACCUCUUCGAGAGGUAUUGGUGCUGUAGGGAAGCCGAAGAGUAUGCUACCUGGGAAGUAUAGUCGCAAGACCGAAACUUAAAGGAAUUGGCGGGGGAGCAC
This 763-nucleotide ribosomal RNA is filed under the name uncultured archaeon. RNAcentral's name for it is "bacterial SSU rRNA". It matches the Rfam family "Archaeal small subunit ribosomal RNA", at positions 110 to 879 of the family's 1478-position model. The record is from RNAcentral.